GACGGAGGGGGCUAGCGUUGUUCGGAAUGACUGGGCGUAAAGGGCGCGUAGGCGGUUUUUUAAGUAAGGCGUGAAAGCCCUGGGCUUAACCCAGGAGGUGCGUUUUAGACUGGAAAACUUGAGUGCGAGAGAGGAAAGUGGAAUUCCUAGUGUAGAGGUGAAAUUCGUAGAUAUUAGGAAGAACACCCGUGGCGAAGGCGGCUUUCUGGCUCGCAACUGACGCUGAGGCGCGAAAGCGUGGGGAGCAAACAGG
Molecule: ribosomal RNA, 253 nt
Filed under: uncultured bacterium
Lineage: Bacteria
Description: partial 16S ribosomal RNA
Rfam family: Bacterial small subunit ribosomal RNA
Source: RNAcentral